Cyprinus carpio carpio is the source of this 1876-nucleotide long non-coding RNA. The record is from Ensembl. Lineage: Eukaryota; Metazoa; Chordata; Actinopteri; Cypriniformes; Cyprinidae.
AGUGUCACGGAGUGACUUCGUAAGGGCGGAACUAAAAAAUGACGGAGAUUGGUUCCACCCGGACCAUAAUUCUCAAACACCGGGAACUCCGGGAAGGGAAAUCAGGGUUUUAUUGAUCGCAGGUGGAUAGAUGAACGGGGCGAUCGUGGAUUGGGCAGUAUGAAGAGAAGGAGGAGUAUAAAGAGGGCCUCAGAAACUGCAGAGGGGGGGAAAAAGUUCUUUGUUUUAUUUCAGCCGAUACGGCGAGAGAGUUGGAGUGUUUGGGCGAGUACCGUGGAAAGAAGGCAGAGGAUAUUGUUGGCUGGGCAAAGACGGAGACAAGGGUUUGGCAGAAACAGACACCGGGCUGAGUAUAUUGGAAUGUCUACUUAACUGUGAAAUGCUCCAUGGACAUGUGUAACAAAUUCUGAGUGGUUGAAAACAGGAAGACUCACCGGAAGUAUCGCCGAAGGAGGCCUUUUCGACAGGGCACGUGGCAGCAGGAGAAGUACCCAGGAGCUGGAAAGAAGAGGGAAAAGAGACCUCGUGUAGUAACGGUGUGAGUACCCUAAACCAUCGUACAGCAGUAUAAUCAUCUAGAGUGAACCAUCUGUGAGCGUUUUGUGAGUUUGUGGCAUAGUAUGUGAGCGGCCCCACUGUGGAGGAGGAUUGUGGGUGAGCCGGGACCAGUGAGCGAGAGAGGAUGUUGGGCUGUUGUGGCGGCAACGUUUAAAUCUGAAUAUUCGUGGCAUCAGUGUCUUCACGACUUCCAGGAAGAGUCUUUGGUCAGACGGGGUGUUGACCCUAAAUUCACCAGAGUGUGUGGAGUGCAGUGGGUGAGUCUUUGUCCUUUGCUGUGAGUGUAUACACUUGAAAAUUGCAGUGUUGUGCUGUGUUGUGUCGUCAACAACCACCUUUCAGGCCCGACGAAAUCCUGUGAAGGAAGUGAAUACCGAGGCUCGAAGAAAACAUCUCCAAUUAUAUGCCGUCGAUGACAUCCUGACCCUUCUUCCCCACGUGACGGUGGUGGGAAACAAUUUCAAGUAAGAACAGUGUGGAUCUACUGGGAAGUAUUAAUGGUGAGGAGUUGGCUGCUGUAGGAGGAAAUCAGCUGUGCGUGUAUUAUUACCUGCUGUGGAGUUCUUCAAAGGUUCGCCCCUGUCUAGAUCUCUUGACUUGUCGGUUGGUAGAAGCCUCAGAAAAGGAACGUCUGACGUCUAUUCCCUCGAAGAUCUAGCGGGUCCCUUUGAAGCGUCUACCUGCAUGUCGACUCGUCACUCAGGAUACAGAGACCGCGGAAACCCCCUCCCGUACACUUACCAGUACGGUUUUAGUUGGAACCCGGUAGCCCUUGUGCAGUUCCCCCAGCAGCUGGACGACCGGGAGUACAACCCGCUGGGCCGCCUCGGAGUUCGUCAAAGGAAAGGAGAGGGCCCUGGACAGUCGUCCUGCAAGUCAGAACAAAGGGGCACUUGUGAAUAAGCUGAUUGUCGUCACAUAGCCAGAAGGAAAGAGGAGUGAAGGACUCACCUGAGAUCUCCCGUGACGGAGUCUAAGAGACUCGAGAUUGUUACUCUCCAAAAGGAGGGUUGGAUUUUAGCCUCCCUUCCCCAUACCCUUUUUUUUUAGUAAUUUAAUAAAGUCUGUUUUAAAAUUUACUUACCGGCUCUCGUGUGUCUGGUCAUUGGGGUAUUCUUGGGACCUCCUCGAGGUGGAAAUUAGGAAGGGGCGUGACUCACAACAUCUGUGGUCAGCUCCGACCUGUGACAGAUUUUUGGCGUAGUCGGCAGGGUUCCACCUCGGGUUGAGCGACCAAGGUUCCCCAAUGGCCGACAACGAGUUGCAAGAGGCCCUACCCCGAGUCAUGCCAGUGUUUAUGGGGAACCCCUGGAUCCAG